UACGGAGGGGGCUAGCGUUGUUCGGAAUUACUGGGCGUAAAGCACACGUAGGCGGAUUGUUAAGUCGGGGGUGAAAUCCUGGGGCUCAACCUCAGAAUUGCCUUCGAUACUGGCAGUCUUGAGUACGGGAGAGGUGAGUGGAAUUCCCAGUGUAGAGGUGAAAUUCGUAGAUAUUGGGAAGAACACCAGUGGCGAAGGCGGCUCACUGGCCCGUAACUGACGCUGAGGUGCGAAAGCGUGGGGAGCAAACAGG
RNAcentral lists this ribosomal RNA (253 nucleotides) under uncultured bacterium. RNAcentral's name for it is "partial 16S ribosomal RNA". It matches the Rfam family "Bacterial small subunit ribosomal RNA", at positions 524 to 776 of the family's 1533-position model. The record is from RNAcentral.